Molecule: ribosomal RNA, 253 nt
Filed under: uncultured bacterium
Lineage: Bacteria
Description: partial 16S ribosomal RNA
Rfam family: Bacterial small subunit ribosomal RNA
Source: RNAcentral
UACAGAGGUGGCAAGCGUUGUUCGGAAUUACUGGGCGUAAAGGGCGCGUAGGCGGUCGCGUAAGUCAGGUGUGAAAUCUCAGGGCUCAACCCUGAAACUGCACUUGAUACUGCGUGGCUCGGGUGCUGGAGAGGAGACUGGAAUUUACGGUGUAGCAGUGAAAUGCGUAGAUAUCGUAAGGAAGACCAGUGGCGAAGGCGAGUCUCUGGACAGUUACCGACGCUGAGGCACGAAGGUCAGGGGAGCAAACGGG